UUUAUAUACUAAAAUUAUAAGUAGACAAUAAAAAUACUAAAUAAUGUAAACAAUUGAUAUAUCGGAUGUUUAAUUCACUAGAUGUACGGAUGAUUAUUCUAAUAUUAAAAUUUAAGUAGGUAAUUUAGGAGUGUAAUGUAU
Arachis ipaensis is the source of this 141-nucleotide non-coding RNA. The record is from RefSeq and is a predicted model, not a curated record. NCBI's taxonomy places the organism in Eukaryota, Viridiplantae, Streptophyta, Magnoliopsida, Fabales, Fabaceae.